GUGCUCACUGGGUCUCAGUUUCUUCCAUGUGGUCCUGAUCUGCCUUCCAUGACUGAAAGAAAUUGAACUGUUUUGGGGGGGUCUCCUGUCUAAAUAGACUGGGAGAUUAUGGUUUUCAGUGAAACA
Molecule: small nucleolar RNA, 126 nt
Organism: Erinaceus europaeus (western European hedgehog)
Lineage: Eukaryota; Metazoa; Chordata; Mammalia; Eulipotyphla; Erinaceidae
Source: Ensembl